GAUGAAGAACGCAGCGAAAUGCGAUAAGUAAUGUGAAUUGCAGAAUUCAGUGAAUCAUCGAAUCUUUGAACGCACAUUGCGCCCGCCAGCAUUCUGGCGGGCAUGUCUGUUCGAGCGUCAUUUCAACCCUCGAGCCCCCCCGGGGGCCUCGGUGUUGGGGGACGGCACACCAGCCGCCCCCGAAAUGCAGUGGCGACCUCGCCGCAGCCUCCCCUGCGUAGUAGCACACACCUCGCACCGGAGCGCGGAGACGGUCACGCCGUAAAACGCCCAACUUCUUAGAGUUGACCUCGGAUCAGGUAGGAAUACCCGCUGAACUUAAGCAUAUCAAUAAGCGGAGGA
Molecule: unclassified non-coding RNA, 342 nt
Filed under: soil metagenome
Description: partial contains 5.8S ribosomal RNA, internal transcribed spacer 2, and large subunit ribosomal RNA
Rfam family: 5.8S ribosomal RNA (bases 1-120)
Source: RNAcentral